RNAcentral lists this ribosomal RNA (440 nucleotides) under uncultured bacterium. RNAcentral describes it as "partial 16S ribosomal RNA". It matches the Rfam family "Bacterial small subunit ribosomal RNA", at positions 338 to 795 of the family's 1533-position model. The record is from RNAcentral.
CCUACGGGUGGCAGCAGUGGGGGAUAUUGCACAAUGGGGGAAACCCUGAUGCAGCGACGCCGCGUGUAGGAAGACGGUCCUCUGGAUUGUAAACUACUGUCCCCAGGGACGAAGAUGACGGUACCUGGGGAGGAAGCUCCGGCUAACUACGUGCCAGCAGCCGCGGUAAUACGUAGGGAGCGAGCGUUGUCCGGAAUUACUGGGUGAAAAGGGAGCGUAGGGGGGGAUGCAAGUUGGGUGUUAAAUCUACCGGCUCAACUGGUAGUCGCACUCAAAACUGCAGCUCUUGAGUGAAGUAGAGGCAGGCGGAAUUCCUAGUGUAGCGGUGAAAUGCGUAGAUAUUAGGAGGAACACCAGUGGCGAAGGCGGCCUGCUGGGCUUUUACUGACGCUGAGGCACGAAAGCGUGGGUAUCGAACAGGAUUAGAUACCCGAGUAGUC